CGGUUGAUCCUGCCGGACCUGACUGCUAUCGGAUUGAUACUAAGCCAUGCGAGUCAUUGUAGCAAUACAAGGCAGACGGCUCAGUAACGCGUAGUCAACCUAACCUAUGGACGGGAAUAACCUCGGGAAACCGAGAAUAAUGCCCGAUAGAACACUAUAUCUGGAAUGGUUUGUGUUCCAAAUGAUUUAUCGCCGUAGGAUGGGACUGCGGCCUAUCAGUUUGUUGGUGAGGUAAUGGCCCACCAAGACUAUUACAGGUACGGGCUCUGAGAGGAGUAGCCCGGAGAUGGGUACUGAGACACGGACCCAGGCCCUAUGGGGCGCAGCAGGCGAGAAAACUUUGCAAUGUGCGAAAGCACGACAAGGUUAAUCCGAGUGGUUUGUGCUAAACAGACCUUUUGUUAGUCCUAGAAACACUAACGAAUAAGGGGUGGGCAAGUUCUGGUGUCAGCCGCCGCGGUAAAACCAGCACCUCAAGUGGUCAGGAUGAUUAUUGGGCCUAAAGCAUCCGUAGCCGGCUCUGUAAGUUUUCGGUUAAAUCUGUAUGCUCAACAUACAGGCUGCCGGGAAUACUGCAGAGCUAGGGAGUGGGAGAGGUAGACGGUACUCGGUAGGAAGGGGUAAAAUCCUUUGAUCUAUUGAUGACCACCUGUGGCGAAGGCGGUCUACCAGAACACGUCCGACGGUGAGGGAUGAAAGCUGGGGGAGCAAACCGGAUUAGAUACCCGGGUAGUCCCAGCUGUAAACUAUGCAAACUCAGUGAUGCAUUGGCUUGUGGCCAAUGCAGUGCUGCAGGGAAGCCGUUAAGUUUGCCGCCUGGGAAGUACGUACGCAAGUAUGAAACUUAAAGGAAUUGCCGGGGGAGCACCACAAGGGG
Molecule: ribosomal RNA, 877 nt
Filed under: uncultured crenarchaeote
Lineage: Archaea; Thermoproteati; Thermoproteota
Description: bacterial SSU rRNA
Rfam family: Archaeal small subunit ribosomal RNA
Source: RNAcentral